UACCAGCACCCCGAGUGUUCGGGACGAUUAUUGGGCCUAAAGCAUCCGUAGCCGGUCCUACAAGUCUUCCGUUAAAUCCACCUGCUCAACAGAUGGGCUGCGGAAGAUACUAUAGGGCUAGGAGGCGGGAGAGGCAAGCGGUACUCAGUGGGUAGGGGUAAAAUCCUCUGAUCCAUUGAAGACCACCAGUGGCGAAGGCGGCUUGCCAGAACGCGCUCGACGGUGAGGGAUGAAAGCUGGGGGAGCAAACCGG
RNAcentral lists this ribosomal RNA (253 nucleotides) under uncultured bacterium. RNAcentral describes it as "partial 16S ribosomal RNA". It matches the Rfam family "Archaeal small subunit ribosomal RNA", at positions 474 to 727 of the family's 1478-position model. The record is from RNAcentral.